This 537-nucleotide ribosomal RNA is filed under the name Nosema sp. B PSH-2011. RNAcentral's name for it is "SSU rRNA". It matches the Rfam family "Microsporidia small subunit ribosomal RNA", at positions 1 to 594 of the family's 1311-position model. The record is from RNAcentral. Lineage: Eukaryota; Fungi; Microsporidia; Nosematidae.
CCAGGUUGAUUCUGCCUGACGUAGACGCUAUUCCCUAAGAUUAACCCAUGCAUGUUUUUGACAUUUGAAAAAUGGACUGCUCAGUAAUACUCACUUUAUUUUAUGUAUAUUUGAAAUUAACUACGUUAAAGUGUAGAUAAGAUGUGUACAGUAAGAGUGAGACCUAUCAGCUAGUUGUUAAGGUAAUGGCUUAACAAGGCAGUGACGGGUAACGGUAUUACUUUGUAAUAUUCCGGAGAAGGAGCCUGAGAGACGGCUACUAAGUCUAAGGAUUGCAGCAGGGGCGAAACUUGACCUAUGGAUUUUAUCUGAGGCAGUUAUGGGAAGUAAUAUUAUAUUGUUUCAUAUUGUAAAAGUAUAUGAGGUGAUUAACUGGAGGGCAAAUCAAGUGCCAGCAGCCGCGGUAAUACUUGUUCCAAGAGUGUGUAUGAUGAUUGAUGCAGUUAAAAAGUCCGUAGUUUAUUUUUAAGAAGCAAUAUGAGGUGUACUGUAUAGUUGGGAGAAAGAUGAAAUGUGACGACCCUGACUGGACGAACA